Molecule: ribosomal RNA, 253 nt
Filed under: uncultured bacterium
Lineage: Bacteria
Description: partial 16S ribosomal RNA
Rfam family: Bacterial small subunit ribosomal RNA
Source: RNAcentral
GACAGAGGGUGCAAACGUUGUUCGGAAUUACUGGGCGUAAAGCGCGUGUAGGCGGCAGCGUGUGUCGGGCGUGAAAUCCCAUGGCUCAACCAUGGAAGUGCACCCGAAACUGCGCAGCUAGAGUCCUGGAGAGGAAGGUGGAAUACUUGGUGUAGAGGUGAAAUUCGUAGAUAUUGGGAAGAACACCGAUGGCGAAGGCAGCCAUCUGGACCGACACUGACGCUGAGGCGCGAAAGCGUGGGGAGCAAACAGG